GGCCGGUAGCUCAACCUGGCUAGAGCAUCUGGCUUUUAACCAGAGGGUUGCGGGUUCAAAUUCACAAACGUGAUUGAAAGUCCCGUCCGGCCCG
Molecule: transfer RNA, 94 nt
Filed under: Candidatus Woesearchaeota archaeon CG10_big_fil_rev_8_21_14_0_10_37_12
Lineage: Archaea; Nanobdellati; Candidatus Woesearchaeota
Description: tRNA-Lys
Rfam family: tRNA
About the family: Transfer RNA (tRNA) molecules are approximately 80 nucleotides in length. Their secondary structure includes four short double-helical elements and three loops (D, anti-codon, and T loops).
Source: RNAcentral